UACAGAGGGUGCAAGCGCUAAUCGGAAUUACUGGGCGUAAAGCGCGCGGAGGCGGUGGGUUAAGUCGGAUGUGAAAGCCCCGGGCUCAACCUGGGAACUGCAUCCAAAACUGGGCGACUAGAGUACAGUAGAGAGUGGUGGAAUUUCCUGUGUAGCGGUGAAAUGCGUAGAGAUGGGAAGGAACACCAGUGGCGAAGGCGACCACCUGGACUGAUACUGACGCUGAGGUGCGAAAGCGUGGGGAGCAAACAGG
RNAcentral lists this unclassified non-coding RNA (253 nucleotides) under uncultured Pseudomonadaceae bacterium. RNAcentral's name for it is "contains 16S-23S intergenic spacer region". It matches the Rfam family "Bacterial small subunit ribosomal RNA", at positions 524 to 776 of the family's 1533-position model. Lineage: Bacteria; Pseudomonadati; Pseudomonadota; Gammaproteobacteria; Pseudomonadales; Pseudomonadaceae. The record is from RNAcentral.